This 253-nucleotide ribosomal RNA is filed under the name uncultured bacterium. RNAcentral describes it as "partial 16S ribosomal RNA". It matches the Rfam family "Bacterial small subunit ribosomal RNA", at positions 524 to 776 of the family's 1533-position model. The record is from RNAcentral.
UACGGAGGGGGCUAGCGUUGUCCGAAGUUCCUGGGCGUAAAGCGCGCGUAGGCGGGUUGGUAAGUCCGCUGUGAAAGCCCGGAGCUCAACUCCGGAGGGUCGGUGGAUACUGCCAGUCUUGAAGGUGCUAGGGGGAGAUGGAAUUACCGGUGUAGCGGUGAAAUGCGUAGAUAUCGGUAGGAACACCAGUGGCGAAGGCGGUCUCCUGGGGCAUUCUUGACGCUGAGGCGCGAAAGCGUGGGGAGCGAACAGG